AAUUUGGUCUUAAUCAGGCUGAGCUAAGCCAGUCUGUAUUUGAGGAGUUGGAAGCAGGUGAUUCGGGCACAAAUUUGAAGGCCAAUAAACGGCAGCCGUCGCCCGUGCACUCAGAGCGGCCAGGAAUCCUGCUCCUGGGGAAGGAGGAAGGGUGCAAGGGCAGUGAGCAUGUCGCCUUGCCCUCGGGGUGUGCGGUUUCUGCUCAGCCUCCUGCAGCCUUGUUUCAAGUGUGGGAAUGGCCUCCUGACUCCCAAUCUGAAACAACUGCUGAGCACAGAAGGCAGAGCAGGGCCCUGAGAGUCAGAGGAAAAUGCUGCUGCGGGGACUGGGGAGCCCCCUCGGGUGACUCCCCAGAGAUGUGAGCAGGUGCAGAGGCUGGAACAACAGUGCUGCAGGAAAGUCUCUCCCGUGGACGCUGUGGCCUGGGGCUUGGGUGACGACGUGCACGGCUGCCUCCUCGCUGUCACGUGCUCUGCUGGCUCGUCUCCAAGCUGUGCUGCUCAUGUUCCAAAGGCUCCCUGGAGGCUUUAGUGAAAAGCCCUUUCCCCGGUGACCUGGAGCGUCUUGCUAGAUGGAGCUGGCCAAGCCUGACGUCUUUUCCUGGCCGAUGCCUCAGUCCUUACGCAAUUUUGAGGUCAGAAGUCCCAAAUCAGUUCCAGCAGGAUGGAAUCAGGGUGCCAUGAGGGCCGCUCCCUCCAGAGGCUCCAGUAGGGAGGCAGAGGGAGCCUAAGGCCCCUGAAAAGGUAAAGUGCUCUUUGCACCUGAGGGUGGACCUUGCAGUCCCGAACUCUAUGAUGAGCCUGUCACCCACCGUGGUCAGCUACCUCCAUCCACAGACAGUUAAAUGGAUCUGGAUCAACCACCUCCGAGGAUGCCUGUGUUUCAGCGGAAGAUGAGGCUAGUGUGAACUUGGCCUUUACAUCCUUCUCCACAGAGCACUGCAAGCAGCCAGUCCCACUGGAACAUAAGAUGAAGCUUUUGUUCCCAUGGCUGGAUACACUUUGGAUCUUGGAAUGCAAUAAUUACUUCAGCUGGAUCUGGUUCAUGGAGUACUUGGCCAGGGCUCUGCCUCAUGCCGUGGUCCUACAAGAUAUGUGAGGAGGUGGACAUCUUUGCGUAGCCCUCCUCCAGAGGCAAGUGGAUUCCUUCCAUAACCCAGAGAAGGCUGCUUGGGAAUGAGGCUGAGAAGCCAGACUUUUUGGCACACAAAGAAAAAGGGAGUUUUCAAAGUUGCUGCAAAUCAUGCAGGAAGAGAAAACAGGACAUUAGUGGACACUGAUUCUUCCCCUCUGCUGAACUCUGAGUCCAGUUUAAAUCUUUAAUAACAUAACACAUGGAGAAAAUUGCUUAUAUAAAAUGAUCACCUUUCUUUUUUAAAAAAAAAUUAUAGAGACUGGGUCUUGCUCUGUUGCCCAUGCUGGAGUGCAGUGGCUUGAUCAUAGCUCACUGCAGCUUUGAACUGUUAGGCUCAUAUGAUCCCCAUGUCUCUGUCUCCUGAAUAGCUGGGACUACAGGUGGACACUACCAUGCCUAAUUUUUUAGUUUUUUUUUUUUUGAGAUAGGAUCUUGCUAUGUUGCCCAGGCUGGUCUUGAACUCCUGGUCUCGAGCAAUUAUUCUGCCUCAGCCUCCCAAAGUGCUGGGAUUACAGGCAUGAAACACCACACUCAGCCAGAAGAAAUUAUCAUCUUUCUAAAAUCAAACUUCUCUUAUAUUCUGGGAACCUACUGAGGAAGGCACAGAUUUAUCCUUUAGAUGCCAGAAGGCUAGAAUUGGGAAAGCUUCGAAGCUUAAACAGGGCAAAGCUUAGGUCAUAGAAGAAUGUAUUAUCUAUUGCUAUGCAACAAAUUACUCUAAAACUUUAAAAACACAAACAUUUAUUAUCUCUCAGUUUUUCUGGGUGAGAAUCUGGGUAUGGCUUUGCUUGCUGCUUCUGACUCAAGGUCUCUCACCUGUCAAGGCUGCAAUCAAAGUGUCGGUGGGGGCUGCAGUCUCAUCUGAAGGCUUGCCUGGGGAGAACACACUUCCAAGCUCACUGCCCUGGUGGAUGGAAAGCCUCAGGUGUACUGCAAUUGAGGGGAGAAGAUGGCCAACUUGAGCCAGGGUGCAAUGAUAUCAAGAGGCCUGGGAGCUGAGGAGGAAAGACUAACGAGCCUGAGGAAUGGAUGUGGGUCUGGAAGAGAGCUGGAAGAGUACAUGGUCCUGGGAACCUCCUGGGGAAAGUGCUUUAAGUAGGAGGCAGAGACCAACUGGUUCCCAUGGUGCCAAUGAGUCAUGUGAGAUAAGGACUGAGAGUUGACAUUAGGAGUGGCAGUGGAGGGGCAUGUAGUGACUUUGACUAGAGCCAUUUCCGUGGGAUGAGGAGGGUGAGGGAAGCUGACUAGUGUGGGCUCAGUUUAUGCUGGAGGAGAGGACUGGGAGAAUAAUGUUCCUUCAUGUUCCUCAGUUAUGCUGUAAAGGGGAAUGAGAAGCAGUAGCCGGAGAGGACUGGGGGAAGGGGCGUCUAGGUUUCCUCCAUGCAUCUGAUGGGAAUGAUCCUGCAAAGGGUAAAUGAACAAUGCAGGCGAGAGAAGCAAGCCCUGCUGGACAUAUCCUUGAGUAGGCAGAAGCCAAUGUCUGGUGCGUAGGCAGAGGGCUGGCUUUAGGUGGGAAGGAUGGGUGGGAAGAUGAGCCGGCGCAGAAGGGGUAGGGGGGGACUUGCAGAAGCACUUUCUGAUGGUGUCUGUCUCUUCACUGAACUGGGAAGCCAGGUUGUCAUUGGAGCCACCUCCCAGUGGGGCAAAGAGGAGGGAGUGAGAUGCCUCAUGAAAAGCAAUGCUUGGGGUCUGGUAUAGAGUAAUAACUCAGUAAAUCCAUUGUCUUCUUGCUUAUCUCUAAGUUAUAGUGAUCACAUUUUCCAGACCAAAUAUCUGAACCUGGAAUCUGGCAGGUGCCUUAGGGGCCAAUGGGUGUGACUGACUGAAAAAUCAGAAUGUCUCAGAAACACCUAGACUUUUAAUUUCCAAAAAACAGACAUGAUAAGCAUCCAGGGCCUGUCAUGUAUAUUAUGGAACCUAAUGCCACUUUCUUUGGCCCUUUUCCAAAGCAGAUGAUAUCCCAGCACCAGGGAAAAUGGUUUCAAUAUCAAGUUGGGUCAGCAGCAUCUUUCUACCUAUUUCUGUCUUUGUGGUCUUUAUAUUUGAAAUAAUCAUUACUAUUUUAUGCAUUCUCUCCCCAUCCUGCAUUACAGAAGGAACGUUCCUAACACAUGUUUUAUGUUUCAACUGCUAGGAGAUUGUAUUUUUGAAAUAAAAUUUUAGUUAUCCUUUCAUUUUUUGAUCCUGUGGAUACAUACAAAUUUAGAAACUCUGAAAGAACACCUUAAUUUAUAUUCUGUGCCUAUGUGGGUGAGGGAAGAAGAGGCUGUUUGGUAUAUAUUAUAUUUUUAGGUUUUUAAAUCUCUCUUCUUUUUUGCAAAUGUGAUGGAAUGUAACAUUUACCAGAAACUGAGAAUUCCCGAGGCAGUAGCCACAGCAGCAACAGUAACUCUAAGCUGGAGAUGGCCUGCUCUGGUGCCAGAGAGGCCAACCCUUGACUCUACUCUCUCAUGAUCAAUCAGCUGGACAAUCACCAAUCCAUGGUCCUUCUUUCCCAUAAGUCACAGUCUGAGUAUGGCGCCUGUGGCUGGAACCCUUACGCUCUCCUUUGGGGUGUCUGGGUACCACUCUGUCUGACCCAUGCUCCUGGGCAUUCUGGAAGUCGGGACUCUGCCUUCCUUACCUGUCUGUGCUUGGAACUCAGAGGAUCCUUGUUAUGUAGUAGGUGUAGUGGACAUUGGUCAGUAGGGAGGCCUAUCAUCUUUUUACAAGUGUUCUAGACGUUUUCCCAACCCCCCACUUUGUCAACCCUGCCUUUCACACUGACAUCUUUUCCCAGCCUGAUUUGGCACCUGCCCAUCAGACACCAUGUGAGUCUGUGGCUCAGAAUGGGGUCCGGGAAGCACCACACAGGGUGGGCAUCCAUGUGGAGGAUGCAGGAACAGCAUGGUGGAGGCAGGGUGGCCUUGAGGGCAGUAAGGCAGGCUUUGCCAUUCUGUGGUUCGAGGCACAGCCCAGAGCUGAGUCCUUCAAUCCUCCCCAACAGAACUGUGAGAUUUCUCAAACUAAUCAAUAAAUCCCUUCCUGCUGAAACCAAAUUGAUUGGCUUCUGCUGGUUCCAACCAGGCCCCCGGCCAGUGCCAUGG
Gorilla gorilla gorilla (western lowland gorilla) is the source of this 4220-nucleotide long non-coding RNA. RefSeq lists it as uncharacterized. The transcript is spliced from 5 exons. The record is from RefSeq and is a predicted model, not a curated record. NCBI's taxonomy places the organism in Eukaryota, Metazoa, Chordata, Mammalia, Primates, Hominidae.